GCCCAGAUGCUGGAAUUGGUAGACAGGCACGCUUGAGGGGCGUGUGUACUUUGUGCGUGAGGGUUCGACUCCCUUUCUGGGCA
Molecule: transfer RNA, 83 nt
Filed under: Flavobacteriales bacterium
Lineage: Bacteria; Pseudomonadati; Bacteroidota; Flavobacteriia; Flavobacteriales
Also listed under: 1 other name
Description: tRNA-Leu
Rfam family: tRNA
About the family: Transfer RNA (tRNA) molecules are approximately 80 nucleotides in length.
Source: RNAcentral